GAUGAACGCUGGCGGCGUGCCUAAUACAUGCAAGUCGAGCGAAUGGAUUAAGAGCUUGCUCUUAUGAAGUUAGCGGCGGACGGGUGAGUAACACGUGGGUAACCUGCCCAUAAGACUGGGAUAACUCCGGGAAACCGGGGCUAAUACCGGAUAACAUUUUGAACCGACUGGUUCGAAAUUGAAAGGCGGCUUCGGCUGUCACUUAUGGAUGGACCCGCGUCGCAUUAGCUAGUUGGUGAGGUAACGGCUCACCAAGGCAACGAUGCGGAGCCGACCGGAGAGGGUGAUCGGCCACACUGGGACUGAGACACGGCCCAGACUCCUACGGGAGGCAGCAGGAGGGAAUCUUCCGCAAUGGACGAAAGUCUGACGGAGCAACGCCGCGUGAGUGAUGAAGGCUUUCGGGUCGUAAAACUCUGUUGUUAGGGAAGAACAAGUGCUAGUUGAAUAAGCUGGCACCUUGACGGUACCUAACCAGAAAGCCACGGCUAACUACGUGCCAGCAGCCGCCGUAA
This 515-nucleotide ribosomal RNA is filed under the name uncultured bacterium. RNAcentral's name for it is "partial 16S ribosomal RNA". It matches the Rfam family "Bacterial small subunit ribosomal RNA", at positions 28 to 523 of the family's 1533-position model. The record is from RNAcentral.